AUUGAACGCUGGCGGCAGGCCUAACACAUGCAAGUCGAACGGUAACAGGAAGAAGCUUGCUUCUUUGCUGACGAGUGGCGGACGGGUGAGUAAUGUCUGGGAAACUGCCUGAUGGAGGGGGAUAACUACUGGAAACGGUAGCUAAUACCGCAUAACGUCGCAAGACCAAAAAGGGGGACCUUCGGGCCUCUUGCCAUCGGAUGUGCCCAGAUGGGAUUAGCUAGUAGGUGGGGUAACGGCUCACCUAGGCGACGAUCCCUAGCUGGUCUGAGAGGAUGACCAGCCACACUGGAACUGAGACACGGUCCAGACUCCUACGGGAGGCAGCAGUGGGGAAUAUUGCACAAUGGGUGCAAGCCUGAUGCAGCCAUGCCGCGUGUAUGAAGAAGGCCUUCGGGUUGUAAAGUACUUUCAGCGGGGAGGAAGGGAGUAAAGUUAAUACCUUUGCUCAUUGACGUUACCCGCAGAAGAAGCACCGGCUAACUCCGUG
This 490-nucleotide ribosomal RNA is filed under the name uncultured bacterium. RNAcentral's name for it is "partial 16S ribosomal RNA". It matches the Rfam family "Bacterial small subunit ribosomal RNA", at positions 30 to 507 of the family's 1533-position model. The record is from RNAcentral.